UACGGGGGGGGCAAGCGUUGUUCGGAAUUACUGGGCGUAAAGGGCUCGUAGGCGGCCAACUAAGUCAGACGUGAAAUCCCUCGGCUUAACCGGGGAACUGCGUCUGAUACUGGAUGGCUUGAGUGUGGGAGAGGGAUGCGGAAUUCCAGGUGUAGCGGGUGAAAUGACGUAGAUAUCUGGAGGAACACCGGUGGCGAAGGCGGCAUCCUGGACCACGACUGACGCUGAGUGAGCGAAAGCCAGGGGAGCAAAGCGGG
RNAcentral lists this ribosomal RNA (257 nucleotides) under uncultured bacterium. RNAcentral's name for it is "partial 16S ribosomal RNA". It matches the Rfam family "Bacterial small subunit ribosomal RNA", at positions 524 to 777 of the family's 1533-position model. The record is from RNAcentral.